RNAcentral lists this ribosomal RNA (460 nucleotides) under uncultured bacterium. RNAcentral describes it as "partial 16S ribosomal RNA". It matches the Rfam family "Bacterial small subunit ribosomal RNA", at positions 338 to 795 of the family's 1533-position model. The record is from RNAcentral.
CCUACGGGGGACAGCAGUGAGGAAUAUUGGUCAAUGGCCGAGAGGCUGAACCAGCCAAGUCGCGUGAGGGAAGACGGCCCUACGGGUUGUAAACCUCUUUUGUAGGGGAGUAAAGCGAGACACGUGUGACUCAUUGAGAGUACCCGAAGAAAAAGCAUCGGCUAACUCCGUGCCAGCAGCCGCGGUAAUACGGAGGAUGCGAUGGUUAAUCGGAUUUACGGGGCGUAAAGCGUGCGUAGGCGGUUUGUCAAGUCAAGGGUGAAAUUCUGGCGGUCAACGUGGGAACUGCCUUUGAAACUGGCAAACUUGAGUGUGUGUGAGGUUAGUGGAAUGCCAGGUGUAGGAGUGAAAUCCGUAGAUAUCAUGAGGAACAUCAGUGGCGAAGGCGACUAUCUGGCACAUUACUGACGCUGAGGAGCGAAAGCGUGGGUAGCAAACAGGAUUAGAUACCCGGGUAGUC